AUAGGGAGGGGUGCAAUUAAAAUUCAUUAAGACACAACAAGAAACUCUAGUCCAGGCUUGUUGCAGGUAAAAGGGACUUUGCCAAUGAAUUAUUCAAGAAGAAUUGAGCUGAAUGAGGGAAUCCUCUCUUGGGUUGGCAAUGGCUCAGACUUACUACGAACUUUCUCCUCAGGCUAAUCAUGAACUCCUGGCUGCAAGUAAUCCUCCCACCUUGGCCUCCCAAAGUGUUGAAAUUACAGGUGUGAACCACAGCGACCAGCCCAUUACUUCUCAUC
This 275-nucleotide long non-coding RNA is filed under the name Pan troglodytes (chimpanzee). Its description in RNAcentral is "long non-coding RNA NONPTRT002093". The record is from RNAcentral. Lineage: Eukaryota; Metazoa; Chordata; Mammalia; Primates; Hominidae.